AUUGAACGCUGGCGGCAGGCCUAACACAUGCAAGUCGAGCGGAUGAAGGGAGCUUGCUCCUGGAUUCAGCGGCAGACGGGUGAGUAAUGCCUAGGAAUCUGCCUGGUAGUGGGGGAUAAGGUCCGGAAACGGGCGCUAAUACCGCAUACGUCCUGAGGGAGAAAGUGGGGGAUCUUCGGACCUCACGCUAUCAGAUGAGCCUAGGUCGGAUUAGCUAGUUGGUGGGGUAAAGGCCUACCAAGGCGACGAUCCGUAACUGGUCUGAGAGGAUGAUCAGUCACACUGGAACUGAGACACGGUCCAGACCCCUACGGGAGGCAGCAGUGGGGAAUAUUGGACAAUGGGCGAAAGCCUGAUCCAGCCAUGCCGCGUGUGUGAAGAAGGUCUUCGGAUUGUAAAGCACUUUAAGUUGGGAGGAAGGGCAGUAAGUUAAUACCUUGCUGUUUUGACGUUACCAACAGAAUAAGCACCGGCUAACUUCGUG
This 484-nucleotide ribosomal RNA is filed under the name uncultured bacterium. RNAcentral describes it as "partial 16S ribosomal RNA". It matches the Rfam family "Bacterial small subunit ribosomal RNA", at positions 30 to 507 of the family's 1533-position model. The record is from RNAcentral.